AGCGAACGCUGGCGGCAGGCUUAACACAUGCAAGUCGAGCGGGCGUAGCAAUACGUCAGCGGCAGACGGGUGAGUAACGCGUGGAACAUACCUUUUGGUUCGGAACAACACAGGGAAACGUUGUGCUAAUACCGGAUAAGCCCUUACGGGAAGAUUAUCGCCGAAGAUUGGCCCGCGUCUGAUUAGCUAGUUGGUGAGGUAACGGCUCACCAAGGCGACGAUCAGUAGCNGGUCUGAGAGGAUGAUCAGCCACAUUGGGACUGAGACACGGCCCAAACUCCUACGGGAGGCAGCAGUGGGGAAUAUUGGACAAUGGGCGCAAGCCUGAUCCAGCCAUGCCGCGUGAGUGAUGAAGGCCCUAGGGUUGUAAAGCUCUUUCAGCGGGGAAGAUAAUGACGGUACCCGCAGAAGAAGCCCCCGGC
RNAcentral lists this ribosomal RNA (422 nucleotides) under uncultured bacterium. RNAcentral's name for it is "bacterial SSU rRNA". It matches the Rfam family "Bacterial small subunit ribosomal RNA", at positions 29 to 497 of the family's 1533-position model. The record is from RNAcentral.